Tripterygium wilfordii is the source of this 793-nucleotide long non-coding RNA. RefSeq lists it as uncharacterized. NCBI's taxonomy places the organism in Eukaryota, Viridiplantae, Streptophyta, Magnoliopsida, Celastrales, Celastraceae. The transcript is spliced from 3 exons. The record is from RefSeq and is a predicted model, not a curated record.
UUAGAGACUUGUCAGAUUUGAAGAGUACUCUCUGUGCAAAGAAUAAAGAUGUUGCUUUGGCAUCAAAGCAAAUGAGCAACCAACGUUAUCGCGGUGGAGAUUACACCAAAGCUCUGAGUUGUUACUCCCAGAUGAUUUUCUCAAUUUGUCCACGUCAUGGUAAUUGGCACUGAGCCUUACUCCAAUAUUUGUUGAUGACAAUGGGAGAAAUCUGGUUGAAGCUUUGUACAGGAGUCAGCUUCUUUGUUUCAUGCAAGAUUUUUAUUGAAGAUCAAGGGUACUAAAGCAUACAGAAACAACCCACCAGAACAUACGAUUCUUGAUAACAAAUUGGUAAAUUCAUACCAACUCUACCUCUCAAUUAUUGGAGGCCAAUCUUUAUCUUGGGUUGACUUGGCCUAUUAUAAAUAUCAUUAUUUGUCCUCCUUCUCUCUCUCUGUCUCUCUCUCUCUCUCUCUUUGUAUGUGUAUUUUGAUGCCUCCUACUUCUUAUUCUUUAACUAUAUGAUGCUUCAUUCUCUUCUUUUCUGAUUUUUUGCGUUUCUUUCCCAGUUAUUUGUUUUGAUGGUUUUCUCAAUCAAAUUUUAGUCAUAAAAAAAUUUCUUUAUAUAGGAGAAGUAAGGCUAAUGUUUCUUUGGGAAACUAUAAAGAUGGCAUAAAUGACUUGAACAUUGCUAAACAUGCAGAUGACUUAUUUUGGGGGAAAAAGACAUAUGGGAAGUGAAUGGAAAGAAAUUGUUAAAAAAUGUUCGAAAAUCAACAAUAAACGGUUCCACAUAACAACUACUUGAAUU